AAAUAUCAAAUGAUGAUUUAGUCUUAAUAUUUUAUUAUUAUUUUGUAGAACUAGGCCAGAAUACUAUCAAUAGCACCAAACUAUUGGUGUUAUUAAUUUUUUAGCCCUUGGAUUGAGGAAUGUGCGAUUAGGAUGAUAUGGGCCCUAUAGGGUUGAGUGGAUAGUUGGUCGAAUAGUAUAAUUUAAUUGAUAAAAUAAUCAAAGGAUUAAAUCUAACGGUGGAAAAUUCGAUAGCACCAAACUCUUAGGGUGCGUUUGGUUCAAGUUAUUUUGACAGGAUUAUCGACAAUCUUAUUAGGAUUACUGUGCUUGGCUCAUCCGCUAUGUAAUCUAGUCGUUAAUGUAGCAUUACAAAUUGAACAGGAUUAUACCGAAAAUAUUACCGAGAGGAGGGUCGUGUAGUUUGCAUUACUGAAAAUCAGCAAUACUACAUAUUAUGUAAAAUAUAUGUAAAACGAUAAUUUAUCAUCUAACUCUCAAAACUCUUUCAAUACAUUAUUUUAAAAAAAUUAAUUUAAAAUUUUGAAUUGUCAACUUUUAAUUUUUAAUUUUUAAUUUUCAAAUUUAAAUUUAAAAAUUUUAAACUUCAAAUUUAAAUUUUAAAUUUUAAAUUUUAAAUUUUAAAUUUUAAAUUUUAAAUUUUAAAUUUUAAAUUUCAAAUUUCUCAGAUUUUAAACUUCAAAUUUUAAAUUUUAAAUUCCAAAAUACAAAUUAAUUUGUAUUUAAAUUCUAAAUUUUAAAUUUAGAUUUUAAUUUUUUAUUUUAUAUAUAUUUAUAUUUAAAUUUUAGAUUUUAAAUUUAGAAAUUUCAUAUUUAUAUUUUAAAUUAAAAUAUUAAAUUUAUAUGUUUCUUAAAAUUUAAAAAUUAAAAAAACUAUUUAAAAUAAAAUUUGAUAAAAAAUUAUUGUUUGUAAACAAUAAAAAAAAUUUAAAAAAAUAUGACUAAGAGUAAUUUUGAAAUAGACUAUAUUUUAUUGUCUAGAUUAUUAAAUUUUACAGACAGAACCAAAUAUAGUAAUGCUAUAAAGACUGGAAUCCAGCAUUUUAUUGCUGUAUUAAACCAAACGUACUAAUGUUGCAUUAGUAAUAAUCUCAUUUAGAAAUCUAAGAUUCCUCGAUAUAUCGAAAUACUCUGUAAUAUUAUGUAACUCGAACCAAAUGCACCCUUACUGCUAUCGACAGUAUUCCAAACGGAUUCUUAUUUUGUAUAUUAUUAGAGUUAAAUCUCAAAAUUCUCUCCC
Molecule: long non-coding RNA, 1240 nt
Filed under: Ananas comosus (pineapple)
Lineage: Eukaryota; Viridiplantae; Streptophyta; Magnoliopsida; Poales; Bromeliaceae
Description: long non-coding RNA (ACOM_LNC025768)
Source: RNAcentral